UUGAGUUAUAUUUUAGAAGUGCCUAGACAAAAUGUGCUCCUUGUCGUGUGCAGUAACCAUCGCAAACCCUCCGGACUCGUGUAACGCCGUUAGUUCGCCGUGUGUUUCGUGCGAUCUACCAGUGUCGACAGUGAGUGUCUUACUACAGCGCCCGUCCGAGCUGCCUUUGUUCUGCCGAGCUGCCUGCCCGCGCUCCCGUGAAAAGUCUGGUACUGGAGCUUCGAAUCGUAGUGUAUGGAAGGCUGUUGAAGGUUGUGCUUUUGUGGAGCUGGAGUUCAUCGGAAGUUCUACAGUGCUUGCGCCAGAAAGACGUCGGUGCCUCGGUACCUUUGAGACGAAGGAGCGUUGGCCAAGUCUUUUUGAAAGGCUAUGCGGAUUCUGGAGGCAUCCCUACAUCGAGCAGGAACCUGCUGCACUGCUGGAAGCUGGACAGCACGACAAUAAAGCACGUGAUCUGUGUGCUUUCUCAAAGGUAGACAUCGGCGACGGUGUAUAUG
Molecule: non-coding RNA, 497 nt
Organism: Dermacentor albipictus
Lineage: Eukaryota; Metazoa; Arthropoda; Arachnida; Ixodida; Ixodidae
Source: RefSeq, a predicted model, not a curated record